This 397-nucleotide long non-coding RNA is filed under the name Homo sapiens (human). Its description in RNAcentral is "non-protein coding lnc-CDK1-8:1". Lineage: Eukaryota; Metazoa; Chordata; Mammalia; Primates; Hominidae. The record is from RNAcentral.
AAGUCAGGUAGAACAGAAGCCUGGAAUUUAUAGAAUAGAUUGCUAAUAUGUUCUAAAAUUGUGUUUAUAUCCCUUUUGCUCUCCCUUGGUGUUUAGCAAGUUCCAGUGGUCUCUGUUGUGUUAAUGGAACCAAAAAAGGGGAUUCACCCUUCAGGUCGCCCUUUAAGUCAUAGGAUAAAAUGAUCAUCAGUGUCUCCUUAGAGUAUUGGAAGAGGAACAUGAAAGGAUGGAGCCUCAUGGGGAAGGUGAAAAUGACAGGAAAAGAGUUAGAGUUAGGGCCUCCUGAUUUCUUUGAGAGAAUAUUCUCGAAGAUUCUAGGCUCUGCUUAUUAAAGCAAACAACCCCUCAUUCAUGUCUGCCUUAUCCUUGGGUCCUUACUAUUCCUAGUGUGGUAUAU